AAAAAUUCGAGUAGUUUGAAUCUUAAACGAGUCGAGUAUAACCUUGCUCAGAUUCUACUCAUAUUUUUAUUCGAACUAUUUUUAAUGCUCAGAUUUGGAUCAUAUUAUUAACGAAUUCGAGUCUCGCUCGUAUUUUUUCGAGUCGAGCCCGAACUGUGUUGGCUCGUUUACAGCCUCACUUUUGUCUUCACUCCAGAUAUGCAACUGUAACACUCCAAUUUUGCAUCGAAAGAUAUGAUAAAAAUUUGUCCGUGUAUAAGAAAUUAAAUUGCUACCAAUACCUUUAGUUAUGACAUUUUGAGUGAGCCUGUGGUGAGUUAAGAUGACCCAAUAAGAUAUUAUUGGGCUAAUAAUUUAAGGACUUGUUUGAAUUUGGGUUUCAGUUGCUCUCAGGUGAAAAAUCGUUUACAGUGGUAUCUAAAACUACUAAGUUUUGAAAUUGAUGGUGGAGGAGAAGAAC
This 460-nucleotide long non-coding RNA is filed under the name Panax ginseng (ginseng). RNAcentral's name for it is "long non-coding RNA (PGIN_LNC015356)". The record is from RNAcentral. Lineage: Eukaryota; Viridiplantae; Streptophyta; Magnoliopsida; Apiales; Araliaceae.